This 292-nucleotide ribosomal RNA is filed under the name uncultured prokaryote. RNAcentral describes it as "partial 16S ribosomal RNA". It matches the Rfam family "Archaeal small subunit ribosomal RNA", at positions 455 to 747 of the family's 1478-position model. The record is from RNAcentral.
GUGCCAACCGCCGCGGUAAAAGCAACUCCUCGAAUGGUCGGGAUAAUUAUUGGGCCUAAAGCGUCCGUAGCCGGUCUGGUAAGUCCCCGGUUAAAUCCGGCAGCCUAACUGUCGGCCUGCUGGGGAUACUGCUAGACUUGGGGGUGGGAUAGGCUAAAGGUACUCCCAGGGUAGGGGUGAAAUCCUAUAAUCCUGGGGGGACCACCAGUGGCGAAGGCGUUUAGCUGGAACACGCCCGACGGUGAGGGACGAAAGCCAGGGGAGCAAACCGGAUUAGAUACCCGGGUAGUCC